AUGUAUCACUACCAUCCAAUUGAAAAAUUUGCUGAAUCCUUCUAUUCAUCAUAUCUCCCUCGACUUGUACAAGAUAAACUAUUUGUGCCAAACAAUAGAGUAGAGAGUGAGGAGGCGAAAACUAGUUCAGGUCUCUCCAAAUGGAAUAUUUUCAAGGCAUGCUUUUCAAGGGAAGUACUUCUUCUAAAAAGAAACUCCCCACUACAUAUAUUCACGACCAUACAGAUAACAGUCCUUGCUUUGGUGAUAUCAACCAUUUUUCUUCGAACAAGUAUGAACCAAAAAUCUAUUAUUAAUGCGAAUAAAUAUAUCGGAGCUCUCUUUUUGGUUGUUAUGAUAGUAAACUUCAAUGGCAUGGUUGAAAUUGCUGUGACAAUAAAGCGACUUCCCACUUUCUACAAGCAAAGAGACCUUCUAGCAUUGCCAGGAUGGGCAAUCCUUACUCCAAUUUUUCUUCUUAGUAUCCCAAUAUCUUUUGUACAGACAAGUCUUUGGACCGUCUUAACCUACUAUGUGAUUGGCUACGCACCUUCCUUUAUUAGAUUCAUGAAGCAUUUCUUGGUACUUUUUUCCAUGCAUCAAAUGUCAAUGGGCAUGUGUCAUUUAUUAGCGGCGGUAGCAAGGACACUAGUAAUGGCCAACGUGCUUGCCACCACAUCUCUUAUAGCAAUCUUCAUAUUUGGUGGCAUCGUCAUUUCAAAAGAUGAUCUCAAACAAUGGUUACAAUGGGGAUAUUGGGCAUCCCCAUUCACUUAUGCACAAAACGCAAUCUCCCUAAAUGAGUUCCUUGAUGAAAGAUGGGCCACAGAAUUUCCUUAUGAAAAUGCUAAUACCAUUGGCGACGCUAUCCUCAAGAUCAGGGGGUUGCUCAUAGAUUGGCACUGGUAUUGGAUUUGUGUCACUAUAUUAUUUGGAUUCUCGUUGGUGUUCAAUAUACUCAGUAUCUUUGCACUGGAGUUCAUGAAAUUGCCACACAAGCAUCAAGUUAACAACAAUGCUAUGAAGGUAAUGAAAGAGUGCACAAAUAGGAUAGUCGGAAUUGGCAAUGGGUCAAUUCCACAAGGUGUUCUCCCAUUUCAGCCUCUUACCUUUGUAUUUGAUCAUAUCAACUAUUUUGUCGAAAUGCCUAAGGAGAUGAUGAAGUAUGGAGUAACUGAUAAAAGGCUUCAGUUGCUACAAGAUGUUAGUGGUGCUUUCAGACCAGGGGUGCUAACAGCUUUGAUGGGAAUCACUGGUGCUGGAAAGACAACAUUACUCGACGUUUUGGCUGGAAGAAAAACUGAAGGAUAUAUUGAAGGUACUAUCACAAUAGAAGGAUAUGCAAAGAAGCAGGAGACAUUUUCAAGGAUCUCUGGCUACUGUGAACAAAGUGAUAUCCACUCACCUAAUCUCACUGUAUAUGAGUCACUGCAGUUUUCUGCAUGGCUCAGGUUGCCUUCAAAAGUUAAAUCUUGCCAAAGAGAUAUGUUUAUAGAUGAAGUCAUGGAUCUAGUUGAGUUAACAGGACUGAAGAAUACCAUGGUGGGUCUGGCAGGAGCAACUGGCCUGUCAGCUGAGCAACGAAAAAGGCUAACAAUGGCUGUCGAGCUUGUUGCUAGCCCUUCCAUUAUAUUUAUGGAUGAGCCGACCACUGGCUUGGAUGCCCGUGUUGCGGCGAUUGUCAUGAGGGCAGUAAGAAAGACAGCAGAUACUGGACGAACCAUUGUUUGUACAAUUCAUCAGCCAAGCAUUAGGAUAUUUGAAUCUUUUGAUGAGCUUCUACUCAUGAAAAGAGGUGGUCAGAUCAUAUAUAGUGGUUCACUAGGUCGACUUUCUAGCAACAUGAUAAAAUAUUUUGAGGAUAUCCCCGGUGUUCCUAGAAUAAAAGAUGGACAAAACCCAGCAUCAUGGAUGUUGGAUGUCAGUUCACACACCACAGAAUACGAGAUUGGAGUGGACUAUGCUAAAAUUUACCAGAGCUCCUCCCUAUACAGGGAGAACAAACUUCUUAUUGAAGAGCUUGGAAAACCAACGCCAAACACAGAAGAUCUACAUUUCCCUCCAAGAUAUUGGCUAAACUUUAGGGCACAAUGCAUCGCUUGCCUAUGGAAACAAAGAUGUGCAUAUUGGAAAAAUCCAGAGCAUAAUGUUGUUCGAUUCCUAAACACGUUUGUUCUAUCAAUUAUGUUUGGAACUGUAUUUUGGCAAACUGGAUCAACCAUUAAACAACAACAAGAUAUAUUCAACAUACUAGGGCUCAUAUACGGAUCAGCAUUGUUUCUUGGCUUCAACAAUUGUUGUAUCUUACAACCGGUUGUGGCAACAGAGAGGAUUGUUCUCUACCGAGAAAAGGCAGCAGGCACAUACUCUACCUUGGCCUAUGCCAUAGCUCAGGUGGCGAUUGAAUUGCCUUACAUGCUUGUCCAAGUAUUCAUAUUCGCGACAAUCGUAUACACAAUGAUUGGAUUCCAGAUGACCGCCAAUAAGUUCUUUUGGUUUCUACUUUACAUGGUGCUAAGCUACAUGUACUACACACUCUUCGGGAUGAUGACUGUGGCGCUAACACCAAACAUUGAGAUAGCUUCUGGAUUGUCCUUCCUUAUCUUCAUCUUUUGGAACAUCUUCUCCGGCUUCAUGAUCGGAAGAGAGAUGAUCCCAGUCUGGUGGAGGUGGGUGUAUUGGGCAAACCCAGCAGCAUGGACGGUGUACGGACUCAUGUUCUCCCAGCUUGGUGACCGGAUAGAGCCAAUUCUUGUACCUGGGCAACCAAACCAAACAGUGCGGGAGUUCCUCGAAGGCUACCUUGGCCUCGAGGACCACUACUUCAACCUUGUCACGUACCUUCACGUGGUCAUCAUCGCCCUCUUCGCCUUUAUCUUCUUUAUCUCCCUAAAGUAUCUCAAUUUCCAACGGAGAUAG
This 2898-nucleotide ribosomal RNA is filed under the name Triticum aestivum (bread wheat). RNAcentral describes it as "partial small subunit ribosomal RNA". The record is from RNAcentral. Lineage: Eukaryota; Viridiplantae; Streptophyta; Magnoliopsida; Poales; Poaceae.